RNAcentral lists this ribosomal RNA (158 nucleotides) under Rhizophagus clarus. Its description in RNAcentral is "5.8S ribosomal RNA". It matches the Rfam family "5.8S ribosomal RNA". From Rfam's summary of the family: 5.8S ribosomal RNA (5.8S rRNA) is a component of the large subunit of the eukaryotic ribosome. It is transcribed by RNA polymerase I as part of the 45S precursor that also contains 18S and 28S rRNA. Lineage: Eukaryota; Fungi; Glomeromycota; Glomeromycetes; Glomerales; Glomeraceae. The record is from RNAcentral.
UCACUUUCAACAACGGAUCUCUUGGCUCUCGCAUCGAUAAAAAACGUAGCGAAGUGCGAUAAGUAAUGUGAAUUGCAGAAUUCCGUGAAUCAUCGAAUCUUUGAACGCAAAUUGCACUCUCUGGCAUUCCGGAAAGUAUGCCUGUUUGAGGGUCAGUA